RNAcentral lists this ribosomal RNA (493 nucleotides) under uncultured bacterium. RNAcentral describes it as "bacterial SSU rRNA". It matches the Rfam family "Bacterial small subunit ribosomal RNA", at positions 28 to 533 of the family's 1533-position model. The record is from RNAcentral.
GACGAACGCUGGCGGCGUGCUUAAAAACAUGCAAGUCGAACGGACUUCUCAUGAAGCUUGCGAUUGAGAAGUUAGUGGCGGACGGGUGAGUAACGCGUGGGCAACCUGCCCCUGAGCCCGGGAUAACAGUUCGAAAGGACUGCUAAGACCGGAUAUACUUGCGGUGAAGCAUUUCACUGCAAGGAAAGGGAACGCUCAGGGAUGGGCCCGCGUCCCAUUAGCUAGUUGGUGAGGUAACGGCCCACCAAGGCGACGAUGGGUAGCCGGCCUGAGAGGGUGAACGGCCACACUGGGACUGAGACACGGCCCAGACUCCUACGGGAGGCAGCAGUUGGGAAUCUUCGGCAAUGGGCGCAAGCCUGACCGAGCAACGCCGCGUGAGUGAUGAAGGUUUUCGGAUUGUAAAGCUCUGUCUUCCGGGACGAUAAUGACGGUACCGGAGGAGGAAGCCACGGCUAACUACGUGCCAGCAGCCGCGGUAAGAGUGUGUGUA